AGGCAGGUAAGGGUGAAAUGGUGCGGUAAGAGCGCACCGCGCGGCCGGUAACGGGCGUGGCAGUGUAAACCCCACUCGGAGCAAGACCAAAUAGGAAUCCGCUAAUCGUGACCCGCGAUGGGAUUCGGGUAGGUCGCUAUAGGUGUCCGGCGACGGGCAUCACAGAUGAAUGAUUGUCCUCGACAGAACCCGGCUUACCGGCCGGCUCCUUAU
RNAcentral lists this RNase P RNA (213 nucleotides) under Gammaproteobacteria bacterium. RNAcentral describes it as "partial RNase P RNA component class A". It matches the Rfam family "Bacterial RNase P class A", at positions 142 to 367 of the family's 367-position model. Rfam says of the family: Ribonuclease P (RNase P) is a ubiquitous endoribonuclease, found in archaea, bacteria and eukarya as well as chloroplasts and mitochondria. Its best characterised activity is the generation of mature 5'-ends of tRNAs by cleaving the 5'-leader elements of precursor-tRNAs. The record is from RNAcentral. Lineage: Bacteria; Pseudomonadati; Pseudomonadota; Gammaproteobacteria.